AUCAAUAAGAGCAUACGGAGGAUGGCUCGACAGAACAUGCCGAUGAAGGACGUAGUAGCCUGCGAUAAGCUUCGGGGAGGUGGCAAGCGACCUUUGAUCCGAAGAUGUCCGAAUGGGGAAACCCCAUGCGGGGAAUGCCGCAUGACCUUGUACUGAAUACAUAGGUGCAAGGAGGUAACCUGGGGAAGUGAAACAUCUCAGUACCCAGAGGAAAAGAAAAAGUAUUAUUCACUUUACGUUUUCACCCACAAAGCACGUUGGGUGGGAACGAAAAGUGAAUCCAUUCCCUAAGUAGCGGCGAGCGAACGGGGAACAGUCCAAACCUCUCUCAUGAAGUUAUGGCAAGCAUGAAAGGCACUUGUGUCUCUUGUGUGAGCGGUGACGAAAGAUGGAAGUCGUUGUGAGAGAAGGUGUUGUAAGGCUCCAUGUCUAUCUUCUUCCAAAGAUAGGUGGUCAAUGCGUAUGAUAGGAGAAUCUGUUGGAACACAGAACCAAAGAAGGUGAAAGUCCUGUACACAAAAUUUUACGUAUUAUCAUAUUGGAGAACCUUGAGUACUACGGGGCUCGAGAAACCCUGUAGGAACCAGCCGAGACUAUUUGGCAAGACUAAAUACAUGUUCUGAUCGAUAGUGAACUAGUACCGUGAGGGAAAGCUGAAAAGCACCCCGGAAGGGGGAUGAAAUAGUAUCUGAAACCGUAUGCUUACAAGGAGUAGGAGCCUGGAUUCGUCUGGGUGACUGCGUUCCUAUUGAAGAAUGAGCCAACGAGUGUGAUGUGCGUCGCUUGCUUAAGUCCUCCGGGACGAAGGCGUAGUGAAAGCGAGCGUUAACCCGCGUGAUCUCAUUUUAUACUCGGUCCACCACUGCAGAGUUCUGUAGUAGGGUCGAGUUUAAAGUGAGAGAGUGGCGCGCACACGACCCGAAACCGGGUGACCUAUCCAUGUGCAGGGUGAAGCGAGCGUAAAAACUCGUGGAGGCCCGAACCCUCGACCUGUGCAAAAGUCUGGGAUGACAUGUGGAUAGCGGAGAAAUUCCAAUCGAACUCGGUAAUAGCUGGUUCUCCCCGAGAUAGCUUUUGGGCUAGCGUCGGUUAAUAACUUAUUGGGGGUAGAGCACUGAACGAGCUUUGCGGCUUCGGCUAGCGAGCUUAAUCAAACUCCGAAUACCAAUGAGUGUUCCCGGCAGUCAGACUAUGGGGGCUAAGCUCCAUCAGUCGAAAGGGCAACAGCCCAGAUCUCAAGCUAAGGUCCCUAAAUUGUCAUUAAGUGUAAAACGUGGUGAAGAGGCUUUUACAACCAGGAGGUUGGCUUAGAAGCAGCCAUCCUUUAAAGAUAGCGUAAUAGCUCACUGGUCAAGCUUCUUUGCGCGGAAAAUGUACCGGGGCUAAAUGACAUACCGAAGCUGAGGGUGUUCCUAACGUUAGUUAGGGAUGCGGUAGGGGAGCAUUCGUAUUGCGUUGAAGUUGUGGGGCGACCCAUGGUGGAGCGAUGCGAAGAGAGAAUGUUGGCAUGAGUAGCAAAAAGACAGGUGAGAAUCCUGUCCGCCGUAAAUCCAAGGUUUCCUGGGCAACGAGAAUCGCCCCAGGGUUAGUCGGGAGCUAAGGCAAGGCCGAAAGGCGUAGUCGAUGCACAGCUGGUUAAUAUUCCAGCACUCACUAUCACACUGAAGCAGGGACGCUUUCUGAAAUUUCCCGCGCUCUAUGGCUAUAGCGUUGGGUGCUUGUUGGUGUCUGGUAGGCAAAUCCGCCAGACUGAGGUUCGACCUCAAACCCGUGAGUAAUCGCAAGCCUGAGGUAAAACUCAGGUGAGGGGAAAGGACAGAGAGCCAAGAAAAGCUGCUAGGGUUAAUGUGAUAGGGACCCGUACCGCAAACCGACACAGGUGGAUGGGUGCGAAAUGCACUAAGGCGUACGAGAGAAACAUCGUUUAGGAACUAGGCAAAACAGCGUCCGUAACUUCGGAAUAAGGACUGGUUUCUUCCGGGAGGAAGAGACCCGCAGCGAAAGAUUUCAACCGACUGUUUAUCAAAAACACAGGUCCCUGCUAAACCGUAAGGUGAUGUAUAGGGGCUGAUGCCUGGCCAGUGUCCGAACGUUAAGGAAGGGGGUUAGUUCCUUCGGGAACGAAGCUUCUAACUGAAGCGCGGAUGAACGCCGGCGAUAACUAUAAUCGUCCUAAGGUAGCGAAAUUCCUUGACGGGUAAGUUCCGUCCUGCACGAAUGGCAUAACGAGUUGAAAACUCUCUCAACGAUGUACUCGGCGAAAUUGCAAUGUGAGUGAAGAUGCUCACUACCCGCGGCAAGACGAAAAGACCCCGUGAAGCUUUACUACAACUUGAUCUUGGGUUGAUGUCUCAUAUGUUCAGCAUAGGUGGGAGCCUUCGGGCACCAGUGAGAUACCACCCUUAUGUUACGUCAAUUCUAACCAGAUACCGUGAAACCGGUAUCAGGGACAGGAUCUGGUGGGUAGUUUACCUGGGGCGGGUGCCUCCCAAAAAGUAACGGAGGCGUUUACAAAGGUCAGCUUAGCGCGGAUGGAAAUCGCGCUGGACGUGCAAACGCAAAAGCUGGCUUUACUGCAAGACCAACAAGUCGCGCAGUCGCGAAAGCGGAAGUUAGUGAUCCGACCGUACGAAAUANNNNNNNNNNNNNNNNNNNNNNNNNNNNNNNNNNNNNNNNNNNNNNNNNNNNNNNCAAUUAAAGCGGUACGCGAGCUGGGUUCAGAACGUCGUGAGACAGUUCGGUCUCCUAUCUGCCGUGGGCGUCGAAGAUUGAUGGAACCCAUUCCUAGUACGAGAGGACCGGAAUGGACGAACCUCUAGUGUAUCGGUUGUUCUGCCAAGAGCAUUGCCGAGUAGCUACGUUCGGUACGGAUAAGCGCUGAAAGCAUCUAAGUGCGAAGCCGUUCCAAAGAUAAGUCUUCAUUUGAGACCCCUCAGAGACUAUGAGGUUGAUAGGCUGCAAGUGUAAGCACAGUAAUGUGUUCAGCUGAGCAGUACUAAUAGGUCGAGCUCUACAACCAC
This 3020-nucleotide ribosomal RNA is filed under the name Candidatus Uhrbacteria bacterium CG10_big_fil_rev_8_21_14_0_10_48_16. RNAcentral describes it as "bacterial LSU rRNA". It matches the Rfam family "Bacterial large subunit ribosomal RNA". Lineage: Bacteria; Candidatus Uhriibacteriota. The record is from RNAcentral.